GGGGAAUAUUGGACAAUGGGCGAAAGCCUGAUCCAGCCAUGCCGCGUGUGUGAAGAAGGUCUUAGGAUUGUAAAGCACUUUAAGUUGGGAGGAAGGGCUGUUACCUAAUACGUGACAAUCUUGACGUUACCAACAGAAUAAGCACCGGCUAACUCUGUGCCAGCAGCCGCGGUAAUACAGAGGGUGCAAGCGCUAAUCGGAAUUACUGGGCGUAAAGCGCGCGUAGGUGGUUCAGUAAGAUGGAAGUGAAAUCCCCGGGCUCAACCUGGGAACUGCUUUCAUAACUGCUGAGCUAGAGUACGGUAGAGGGUAGUGGAAUUUCCUGUGUAGCGGUGAAAUGCGCAGAUAUAGGAAGGAACACCAGUGGCGAAGGCGACUACCUGGACUGGUACUGACACUGAGGUGCGAAAGCGUGGGGAGCAAAC
Molecule: ribosomal RNA, 425 nt
Filed under: uncultured bacterium
Lineage: Bacteria
Description: bacterial SSU rRNA
Rfam family: Bacterial small subunit ribosomal RNA
Source: RNAcentral